CAGUCACCAUUGUUUGUCAAUUAUUUCUUCACAAUGUCUAUUGAAGGAUCUCAUCACGUUUAGAGAGCUGUGGUCGUGCCCCCUAAAGUGAAUUUGGAGGUUUUAUACCC
Small nucleolar RNA from Macaca fascicularis (crab-eating macaque), 110 nucleotides. NCBI's taxonomy places the organism in Eukaryota, Metazoa, Chordata, Mammalia, Primates, Cercopithecidae. The record is from Ensembl.